GAUGAACGCUGGCGGCGUGCCUAAUACAUGCAAGUCGAGCGAACGGACGAGAAGCUUGCUUCUCUGAUGUUAGCGGCGGACGGGUGAGUAACACGUGGAUAACCUACCUAUAAGACUGGGAUAACUUCGGGAAACCGGAGCUAAUACCGGAUAAUAUUUUGAACCGCAUGGUUCAAAAGUGAAAGACGGUCUUGCUGUCACGUAUAGAUGGAUCCGCGCUGGAUUAGCUAGUUGGUAAGGUAACGGCUUACCAAGGCAACGAUGCAUAGCCGACCUGAGAGGGUGAUCGGCCACACUGGAACUGAGACACGGUCCAGACUCCUACGGGAGGCAGCAGUAGGGAAUCUUCCGCAAUGGGCGAAAGCCUGACGGAGCAACGCCGCGUGAGUGAUGAAGGUCUUCGGAUCGUAAAACUCUGUUAUUAGGGAAGAACAUAUGUGUAAGUAACUGUGCACAUCUUGACGGUACCUAAUCAGAAAGCCACGGCUAACUACGUG
RNAcentral lists this ribosomal RNA (497 nucleotides) under uncultured bacterium. Its description in RNAcentral is "partial 16S ribosomal RNA". It matches the Rfam family "Bacterial small subunit ribosomal RNA", at positions 28 to 507 of the family's 1533-position model. The record is from RNAcentral.